UUUUUCUAUAAAGUAUAACAUACUAUUAUAAAAAUAUUAUCUCCAUUAACGGUUUAAAUUUCAACCUCUAAAGUAAUAUAUGUGCUAUCAACUAAUCUAAAUCUAUGGAACAAAACAAUAAUGAAUUUAGAUCUUCGAGAACAUAUCUUGUUCUUCUAAUCUACAGAGUAAAUGAAAAAAAGAAAAAAGAAAUAGAAAUAAAAAUAAAAAGAGUAUAGUUUAGUAAUUAUUGAUUACCUACUAAGCCAGCGCCAGUAGCAACGGUACGCUGUUCCCAUGUCUGGGUAUCCAUAGUCAGAUCUGAUCUCUCUCUCGCGCGCCCUCUCAGGACAGAAGGAUGAGGCUUACUAACAAUGAAGGGGAAUGUGGAUAGCGGAGGAAGUAAAGGUUCUCUCUUGGAGAUGGAGUGUGGAUAGGUUGAAGAUCUCCCCGUGUUUAUUUUACGAAUGGACUUGGGACCGGGGAAGUUGUUUCAAUCGCUAGUUUUUUACUGCUGGUGCUUGCCUUCUUUUUGUUUGGGUGCUGUGCUUCUUGUUGUGGGUGUGCUGUGGUGCUUUGUCCAGCUGCGUUUUUUGUUCUGCGUGGGUGUUGGUUGCAGUAUUGUUUUCCAGUUUGGUUGGGUGUUGGUUGUUGUUUCUAUUGUUUAGGCUUCUGUUUCCCUGUUAGCUUAGGAGUUUUUUGGUUGUAGGAGGCUUGUUUUCCUUUUGUUGUGGCUCCUGUUUCUUUUGCUGCUUUUUUGUAUCUUGCUCCCUUUCUUGGCAUGUCUUAUGCCAUGUUUUGUGGUUUUUAAUAAAUUUGCUGAUUCAAAAAAAAAAAAACAAUGAAGGGGAAUGCUCUCUCUCUCUCUCGCGCGCUCUCAGGACAGAAGGAUGAAGCUUACUAACAAUGAAGGGGAAUGAAUUUUGGGAAUGAAGGGUUAUGGACUUUAAGUUUUACUCUCUCAGUUUCUCAAUGAAGGGGAAUGAAUUUGAUUUUUAUGAACUUUAAGUUUCUCUCUCUCAGUUUCUCAAUGAAGGGGAAUGAAUGAAGGGGAAUGAAUUUGAUUUUUAUGAACUUUAAGUUUCUCUCUCUCAGUUUCUCUCUGGUUAUGAACUUUAAGUUUUACUAGCUAGUACUAUUCUAUGAUGAACUGAGUAGAUUUUUAUUUUGAUUUUGAUUUUAGUCUCUUCCUCUGAAGAAUCAUUUUUAAUUUUUGUUUUUCCUUGUAUGUGUUAUCUAGUUUAAGCUUCAUAGCUUCCUCUGAAUAGAAAGAAUCAUUUAAUUUGUUUCAUGAUAUUGCUACUUUUUCUUCUACUCACCAAAUGUAAUCUCCAGCUAUUUUUGGUUGUUUGGUUGCUUUCACUUUCAUUUGCCCAGUUUAUGCUUUAAAUUUGUACGUACUAAUGGUACUAUGUCUUUCCUCAUAUGGAUUUCUACUCUUUUUUUAAAUAAAAAAUAAAAAAAUUCAAAACUAUUCGUAAAAAUUUAUGACUUUGAUAUUGACAAGAAUUUUGGAGUUUCAUACUACUACUACUAGUUUAUAGGUUCUGACUUCAAGUACAAAGUCAAAAGUCUCAUAUUGCUUUGACCUUAAUAUACUUUGUAUUUUUCAUCCCGUGAGUGACAUGACAUGGCAUAACUUACACUUGUUAAUUACUCUUGUUGCUCAAAGUCAAGAAUCUUAGUCAACUCUUAUAUACUGUACAGUACAUACUAGUAGUACAUACAUAUAUAGUGCAGUUUUUUAGAAUCUUAUUCUGAUAAUAAUAAUAAUCAUGAGUUGCCUCCUAGAAUCUGUUUAUUUCAACUUUUUAUAUUUUUUUUUUCUGAUUUUUUGUUUAUGAUUUUGAAGGAGGGAUAGUUUUAUCACCCAUGGAGCUUUUUGUGAUGCUUUGGCUGUGGAGAAUGCAAAAUCUCAUAAUCAAGCUGUUGGGAAAGCUAAUUGAGAAUCUGAUUCAAAGGUUUUGACUGAUGAUUUAUUGCCACCGGUGUGGGCGCUGACGCCGGCUCCUAUAACAACUCCUCAGUCAAAUAAGUGGUGUGUCCUCUGCUAUGGAGGUGUUAUUGUUUGUUUCUGUGAUCUUGGUGUGUGGUAUUUUUUGUCUGCUAUUGUUUUUUGUUGUGACUUGUUUUAGUGAGAAACAAGAUCAAGUGACAUGAGAUUCAGGGGAUGCUAAUUAAGUAAUGAAAUUAAUCACUUAAGAGGUGUUUUUUGUGUGAUUGUUGGAUCUAAAAUUAUGCAAUGGUUGACCAAGAAACUACAACUUUGUCCAGGGUUCAAGGAAAGAGUAAUCCAUAUGAUUCCUCCCUUGCUGCACAACUUUGCAUUCCAAUCAUAAAUGACCUACUGGUUGAGAUAAAAAACCAAAGCUACCAUGAACAAUGUUUUUUGAAUAUAGAUGUGCCAAACAAUGUUACUAACCAUAAGGUAUAGUGUAAUUAUUUUUUCAAUAUAUAUUUAAUUUUUGUGAUUUAGAGGGGUAAAUGGUUCUUUUGGCUUAAUAUACAUGAUAGAAACACAAUGAACCUUAAAGUUGGUUCAUUGACAGUUCCAGCAUCAUCAAUUCCUGUUAUCCCUGUUAUUUUCAUUAGUAUCUUGGUUCAAAUUUAUAAAAUUUUCUUUGUUCCAUUUGCAAGAAAAAUCACUCUCCACUUUGGCAAAGGCAUUAAAAAAUGCAUCAUUAUUAGUAGCAUAUUUCUUCACCAGAUUAUCAUCAGUAGUAUAUAACUCCCAUUGAACAACUCUUGGUCUGAAUGGAGAAGAGCCUUUUUCGCCAGUAAACUCUUGAAAUAUCGAUUAUCGACAUGGGUCGGAGUUUGCUCUGUAGUGACUUGGCAAAUAAGGCAUUCAUAUUUUAAUCGUUGUAGAAGUGUGCUUGAAAUUGCACACAUCUAGAUAGACCAACUGUAUGUGCACCGAAUGUUUUAUAUAUAUAUAUAUAUAUAUAUACUCAAUUGAAUUGAAACAUACUAUACUAUAUUGAACAUUAAUUGGAUGCCAAGUAUAAUUUAUGAACAAGGUAGUGGUCAUGAUGAAUAAUGAUAAAGCAUUAGUAUUACUAUAUCAUGGUAUCUGAAAGAGCCACCAAGUCAUUCACUGAGGGUCCACGGUUAGCAAAAUUUGUUUUGAGAGCACUUCAAUUUCAGCCACUGUCUUCAUUUGGUACUUUAAUGAGUGCGUUGACUUUUUCAUGAGAUAUUAUUUCUUCAAUUUUGUAUAUUGUCUGAUUUCAUCAUGAGGUGUUUUGAUUUUGGCAUUAGCUUUUCACUACAGUAAUGCACUAUGAGCUCCAUAUACAGUAGUGUUUUCCCAUAUAAUAUUAGAUGAUGUCUUUGCACUAGCUUAUCUCUUUUUCACGGUCAAUACAAAGUGUAGCAAGAGUUAUAGAUGCUCAUGUAUUUUAUAGAAUGAUCAUGAUUACUUUGGUUGUGAUUGACUGAGAAUUUGUUAUAAUGUUGAUAUUCUUAGAUGUGUUGUUGAAAGCUUACCUUUUGAGAUCAAUGAUCUACCAAAUGUUUGCUCCAUGGUUGACCCUUAUUCUGAUAGUUUGAAGGAUGCAGAUGCAGAUGCAGUGGUACCAAUUGCAAAGCACAAGUCAAUUUUGGUUUUGGUUAUUAUAAUUUGUUCAUACAUUUGGUUUUUCCUUUUUUAUGGCUUUGAAAUGUACAUUGUUGUUUGACCUCUUGAUUAAAUGUAUCUUUAGAGUGCUGAAUCAAUACUAUCAUUGAUGCUAAUGAAGAGGUUUUUAAAUCAUUACAGGUUCAUGUUGAUGUGAUGCAGUGAGCUAGCUACAAGAAAAGUACCUUUCUGGGAAAACAAACUGAACUAGGAAUGUUAAGCCUUCCAAGUUGAAAGCAUGAAAGUUCAAGAAAAGCUUUUUCAGAGGUCUGCAACUUAUGUUAUGUUAUUGUUAUAUUAAGUUGUAUAGGAAGUUGGAAAUAGAACCAUGGCUCAAGAGAAUGAUGGCUGCCAAGUUUCCACAUUGAAUGACUUGCUUUUAUUUUGAAAAUUUGGAUUGAUUUAAUUUCUUAUAGAAAUUUUUGUUGGAGCAAGAAAUGAUGCUUCUGGAGUUUAUGCACUUGCUUUUAUGAGGUGUAUGAUUAAUGUUUGUUCUUGAAAUGUAAUUUAUAGAUAGAUACCAUAAGAACUGGAAUUGGCACUUUGGAAGCAAGAGUAUUAGUUAUUUUUUA
This is a long non-coding RNA of Trifolium pratense (red clover), 4170 nucleotides long. RefSeq lists it as uncharacterized. The record is from RefSeq and is a predicted model, not a curated record. Lineage: Eukaryota; Viridiplantae; Streptophyta; Magnoliopsida; Fabales; Fabaceae. The transcript is spliced from 2 exons.